UUCUUCCUCCAAGUUCAUAUCGAAACUGCUCCCAUCUUCUUCUUCUUCGGUCCACCACCAUGAGUCCAUCAUCUCCACCACCAUCAUCUCCAUCACCAUCACCAUCCACAAUUGGUAUUGAGGAAUAGAGUGAACUAAUUUGUUCAAUUUCAGUGAUUUUCAAUUUCAGUGUUGUUGAACUAAUUUGUUGACCAAACAUCGAAACUGAAGAAGAAAUCGUCGGAAUUUCACGAUUAAACCCUAACUUCCAAAGCCAUUACAAUUUGCCUAAGUUAGAACAAGGAACUCAGUCAAAAAUAGACGAUAUGUGGAUAAGAAUUUGAGCAGGGAAGAAAAGGAGUUGUUACUGCAUGGAUUUCAGUGGGUUAAGUGAGAUUCUCGAAAUGGUGAUUAUCGGAAGAGAUUCAGUGGAAGUAUUAGGGUCUUGAAUGAAUUAGAAGACAUGGGUUCUCGUCAGAUUUGAUUUGCAGCAACGAGAUGAAGAAACCAAGACGAAUUUCUGAUGGUGGAAUUUAGGGUAUGGUUGAUGGCCGGGAAUUCAAUUGAAGUAAAGGGAGAUGCUGCUACUGUUGGCUUGAGUGUAUGAUGGUGCUAUGGACUAAUUGCAGUUGGAAUCAAUAGGAAGGGGAGUCAAGGUCUAAAUCUAGAGCCACUAUGGCUAAGCACCCUGUUGCAUAUGGUACUCUCUCAUUCAACUUUACCACACAUUGCUCAGGUUACAGGUAUAUCGGCCAUUAAGCUUAAACAAAAAUGAAGUUUGACAUACAGAAUUUGACCAACUUCAUUUUUGUUAGUCUCAUACCAUAAUAUAGAUGGAGAAUCCAAUAAAUUUGAAAGGGCUGUGGAAAAGGUUAAAGGUUAAAAACAACUCAACAUCAUAACUGUAGUACUGAUCCUCAGCGUAGAAGAUGUUGUUGUGUCAGGACGUCAUAUAGGAAAUUCCUACAUUAUAAAUGGAGGAAUUUGUCCCAAGAUUACUGCCUUCAUAUAUUUCUGGAUGGGUUUCUCAAAGUGGUGGUGGUGGCGGUGGAUCAUCGUCGUCAGGUGGCAUUGGAGGAUGGUUGAUGAAGUUCCUUCGUGCAUUACAAUUGUGUUUUAUUGAGCAAUAGAUUUUAUGUACCAAAAUGCUCUAUAAUGUGUACAUCCACAAAAAUGGUAGGGAGAUCAAUUAAGAGACACCGAGCUGAAUGAUCCGUUGAUUUAGACAUACAUCAAAAAUGUGGCAAGUGGAGUUAGGACAACCAGCUCAUUAGUGGACCUAGAGGAGGGAACGUGUGGCUUUCUGGUGGACAUAGGUCAAUUCACAGGAAAACCUUACUUGAAGCUUUAGCAGAAGAACUACCGCCAUAUACUAUCCAUUUUUCUUCAAAGUUUAUCUCCAUUGAAACACAGAUGAAGCUGCAAAUCGUCCAAAAUUAUGCUGCAUUUGGAUUAUGGGACUAGCGUUUGUACCAAGGAGAGUCAUGAGAGUACAAAUGAAUGUCCAGUUGUUGUGUGAAAAGCCAAAUGCUUGACAAUUUGCUAGGACAUUUGCUCAGACCUCACUGCAAUUGAAACUUAAUAUAACAUUUUGGCCAUAUAUGGGCAUUGACAGGUUC
Papaver somniferum (opium poppy) is the source of this 1598-nucleotide RNA transcript. RefSeq lists it as uncharacterized. The transcript has 5 exons. Lineage: Eukaryota; Viridiplantae; Streptophyta; Magnoliopsida; Ranunculales; Papaveraceae. The record is from RefSeq and is a predicted model, not a curated record.